UACGUAGGGUGCAAGCGUUGUCCGGAAUUAUUGGGCGUAAAGAGCUCGUAGGCGGUUUGUCGCGUCUGCCGUGAAAGUCCGGGGCUCAACUCCGGAUCUGCGGUGGGUACGGGCAGACUAGAGUGAUGUAGGGGAGACUGGAAUUCCUGGUGUAGCGGUGAAAUGCGCAGAUAUCAGGAGGAACACCGAUGGCGAAGGUAGGUCUCUGGGCAUUAACUGACGCUGAGGAGCGAAAGCAUGGGGAGCGAACAGG
Molecule: ribosomal RNA, 253 nt
Filed under: uncultured bacterium
Lineage: Bacteria
Description: partial 16S ribosomal RNA
Rfam family: Bacterial small subunit ribosomal RNA
Source: RNAcentral